CGCACUAUCAUUUUCCAUGUUCAGUGGACCGUGAAAUUGGGGUAAAAACUCUAAUUUGGCAUUAAAAUUAGAAAGAUCAUAUCAUAGGGGACAUGUGUACUAAGUUUGAAGUCGAUUGGACUUAAACUUCAUCAAAAACUACCUUGACCAAAAACUUUAACCCGAAGCGGGACAGACGGACGGACGAACGAACGGACAGACGGACGGACGGACGGACGCACAGACCAGAAAACAUAAUGCCCCUCUACUAUCGUAGGUGGGGCAUAAAAAAGGUA
Molecule: long non-coding RNA, 275 nt
Filed under: Mytilus galloprovincialis (Mediterranean mussel)
Lineage: Eukaryota; Metazoa; Mollusca; Bivalvia; Mytilida; Mytilidae
Source: RNAcentral